RNAcentral lists this ribosomal RNA (214 nucleotides) under uncultured Anaerolineaceae bacterium. Its description in RNAcentral is "partial 16S ribosomal RNA". It matches the Rfam family "Bacterial small subunit ribosomal RNA", at positions 1172 to 1382 of the family's 1533-position model. Lineage: Bacteria; Bacillati; Chloroflexota; Anaerolineae; Anaerolineales; Anaerolineaceae. The record is from RNAcentral.
GGUGGGGAGUGACGUCAAGUCAGCAUGGCCUUUAUAUCCUGGGCUACACACACGCUACAAUGGGAAGGGACAAUAGGUUGCGAAGCCGCGAGGCGGAGCCAAUCCAGCAAAACUUCCCUCAGUUCAGAUUGCAGGCUGCAACUCGCCUGCAUGAAGUUGGAGUUGCUAGUAAACGCAGGUCAGCCAUACUGCGUUGAAUACGUUCCCGGGGCUU